This 1771-nucleotide long non-coding RNA is filed under the name Zonotrichia albicollis (white-throated sparrow). RNAcentral describes it as "lncRNA (ENSZALG00000000746.1)". Lineage: Eukaryota; Metazoa; Chordata; Aves; Passeriformes; Passerellidae. The record is from RNAcentral.
AUGUGGGAUCCCAGGGAAUGCCCAGAUUCCAGGGAAUGCCAGAUCCCAGGGAAUGUGGGAUCCCAGGGAAUGCGGGAUCCCAGGGGAUGCCAGAUUCCAGGGAAUGUGGGAUCCCAGGGAAUGCCAGAUCCCAGGGAAUGUGGGAUCCCAGGGAAUGCCGGAUCCCAGGGAAUGCCGGAUCCCAGAGAACGCCCAGAUUCCAGGGAAUGCCGGAUUCCAGGGAAUGUGGGAUCCCAGGGAAUGCCAGAUUCCAGGGAAUUCCUGGAUCCCAGGGAAUGCGGGAUCCCAGGGAAUGCUGGAUCCCAGAGAACGCCUGGAUCCCAGGGAAUGCCGGAUCCCAGGGAACGCCGGAUUCCAGGGAACUCCCAGAUUCCAGGGAACACCAGAUUCCAGGGAAUGCCAGAUUCCAGGGAACACCCAGAUUCCAGGGAAUGCCGUAUUCCCAAGGGGGGUUGUGCUUGUGCUGUUGGGGUGGGGGAGCCACGGAGAGGGGAUCCCAUGGGAAGAGCCAGCGGAUCUCCGGGUGAAAAUCUGGGAUUGGAGCUGAUCCGGGUCCCAAAGAUCUCCGGGAGUUUGAAGGUGGAAAUGAACAAAGAAAUCCCAAACUGGAAUGAAUCCCAAGAAGUUCUGGGGAUCGGAGCCAUGGCCAAGGGUCCUCCUCCAAUGCACAAUUUAAGGAAUAUCACGAAUUCCCUGUGGAUUCUCCAUGGAAUUGCAGCCUCUAGUGGGGAUUCCUGGGAUCCACCUGUGCUAAGGAACAGCAGAAGGUGAUGGAAGGACAGGAGGGCACAACCUUGGAAUGCUCCAUCCCAAACUUCCAGCGGCAUCCAUGGGGAAAAAAAUCCCACGGGAAGAGCCAAUGGAUCCCCACAGGAAAAUCUGGGAUCAAAGCUGAUCUUGGUCCCAAAGAUCUUUGGGAGAUUGAAGGUGGAAAAUGAACAAAAAGAUCCCAAACUGGAAUGAAUUCCAUGAAGUUUUGGGCACUGCCGGCACGGUCAAGGACCCUCUUCCAAUGCACAACGGAAUUUAAGGAAUGCCAGGAAUGUCCCUAUGGAUUCUCCAUGGAUUUCCAGCCCCUGGGGAUUCCUGGAAGCUCCACCUGUCUAAGGCCACCAGAUGGAAGGACAAGAGGUGGAACAGGAGGAACAACCUUGGAAUGCCCAUCCUGCACUUCCAGAGUGCAGAAAUCGGCCACAUUCCAACCCCACCAUCAGCAUCAAUUCCCAAAAAACCCAACCAAGAGGAAUUCCGGCCUCUGUAAGGCACCAACACCAUCCUGGAGCAGCACCCAAGGAGGAUCUCCGGGUUUUCCAACUGGGAAAAAGAUGGAAGGAACACGUCAGGGGAGGAUGGGGCAGAUUUUUGGGAAGGAAUCCCAGGUUUGGGGUGGGUUUGUGUCUGCCGGGUUUCCAUGGGCAUGGAAAAAAUUCCCCUCUGCUACCUUUGGUAUUGGGAUUUCUCCUCUGCCAUGCUUUGGAUGGGUGGGAUUGCCCGGAGCGCGCGGAUUAAAGCCGGGAAAAGGUCGCUCCGAGAGCGGUGAGAAAUGAAGGGAAACCCUCAAAAAAUGAAAGCAAUGAAAAGAUGGAGAUGGGCGUUGUCCUUGUGCCCGGGAUUUUGGGAUUGGGAUCAGCUCCACCAUGGAAUGGGAGCAGUGGGAAUUCCCAAAGUCCAUCCUCGAUUUCAGGGUCAGGCAGCCGGUGGGAUCAUGGAAUCAUGGAAUGGUUGGGUGGGAAGGACCUUAAAGCUCAUCCCAUUCCAUAGGAACCUUCCA